RNAcentral lists this long non-coding RNA (1543 nucleotides) under Olea europaea subsp. europaea. The record is from RNAcentral. Lineage: Eukaryota; Viridiplantae; Streptophyta; Magnoliopsida; Lamiales; Oleaceae.
UUCAUGCUCUUUGGAUGUUGUAAAGGUUUCUUCAUCCAGGAUGAUAUCUGCUGUUACUUCAUGUGAACUUAUGGAGUCAUUUGUUUCUUGACACGUUGAAGAGGUUUCCUCGUCUAGGACAUGAUCUGCUUUUACUUUAUGAGAAAUUAACGAGCCAUUUGUUUCUUGUUGUUGAUUUUGUUUAGCUGGUUGAUUCAACAUAUUUUCUGCUGAUGCAGCAUUAUCUACGACCUCUCUGUGCGAGUUCUUUGAGUCAAUUGCACCAUUUUGAACAUCUGAUUUGAAUCGUUCCCUGUAAAUAUUAAAGAGAUGUAGGUAAUUUGGUCGAGGUAUAUGUGACAUAUUUCAUUAUGUCUCAAAAAUAUGGAUACAUCGUAUAUAAGCAUUCUCAGUCAGGAAACAGACAAUGAAGAUUGCCUGAAAUCUGUUUCAAAGGCUAUGCAUAUGUUGAAAAAUGAAAUUAAAUUGUAACACAAUGGAAUACUAAUUUCGAAGAGUAAUGAAUAUUGUUAAAGUAAUAAGUUAAUUAGAUUAAGGACAGUUUAGUAUUUUGCACUAUAUAAAUCAUUGUAAUCUUAGAUUAUGCAAACAAGUUUGGAGGCUGCUAUCAAUCGGUUUUCUCUCUUUCUCCUCCAUUUUUCAUCUUUGGUUUGUUGUUUUCUACAUGAUAUCAGAGCGGGUUUGAUUUUGGGUUAAACUUGCAAGGUGCUCGUCCGGUGGUCAAAACUUUGUGAUAUGGUCAAAACCUCAAAAAAUUCAAUAUGGCCGCAACCUGCCGUCUCCUCGGCCCCCCAGAACUUCGGCACGCGCCACCAUCCUCCACCAACACCACUGAUGAUGAUCCCAUCAAUAGUCUAAUCAACCGAACCACUGAUUUUGAACUUUCUCACAAGAAGAUUUUGAAAACCAUCCGAUUUUGGGUUUAACUGAAAGUAAUUCAGCAACUUUUAUUUCUUCUGGAAACCCUUGUUUGGAUUUCUUCUUCCAUGUGGUGCCCGAUACUUCGCCCACAGAUUUGAUCGGAUGGCUGGAAUUAGCCUGGACCCACAAUUCAUUGACUGCUUUGAAGCUGAUCUGCAAUCUCAGGGGGUGAGAGGCACUGGAAAAUCUGACAAGGAAGGGUUCUAUACGGCGGCGUUAUGGCUUCAUAAUUACCACCUCAAGACGCUGGCCGGUAAUGUUAAGGUAUUUGCUGAUUUUGGCUACUUUAAAGAUUUGCUUGAAAUACUUUAUAGGAUUCUUAAAGGGCCCUUGAUAAGAAAGAAAGAAAGAAAGAUAAAAAAGAAAAAAAAAAAAUAAAAAUCGAUUGAUAGUAGCUUCCAAAUUUAUUUGCAUAAUAUAAUAUUACAAUGGUUUAUAUAGUGCAAAACUAAGGAAAUAUAAUAAGACUAAACUACCCUUAACCUAAUUAACUUAUUACUUUAACAUCCCCCUCAAACUCACGAUACUACGACAAGGAGCAACGAGAGUUUGACCAACAAAAAGCAUAAAUGAUCAAUCGAAUUUGACUUCGUGGCAAAGUCUACAAGCUGCAACGACGGAG